RNAcentral lists this ribosomal RNA (2901 nucleotides) under Escherichia coli. RNAcentral describes it as "bacterial LSU rRNA". It matches the Rfam family "Bacterial large subunit ribosomal RNA". The record is from RNAcentral. Lineage: Bacteria; Pseudomonadati; Pseudomonadota; Gammaproteobacteria; Enterobacterales; Enterobacteriaceae.
GUUAAGCGACUAAGCGUACACGGUGGAUGCCCUGGCAGUCAGAGGCGAUGAAGGACGUGCUAAUCUGCGAUAAGCGUCGGUAAGGUGAUAUGAACCGUUAUAACCGGCGAUUUCCGAAUGGGGAAACCCAGUGUGUUUCGACACACUAUCAUUAACUGAAUCCAUAGGUUAAUGAGGCGAACCGGGGAACUGAAACAUCUAAGUACCCCGAGGAAAAGAAAUCAACCGAGAUUCCCCCAGUAGCGGCGAGCGAACGGGGAGCAGCCCAGAGCCUGAAUCAGUGUGUGUGUUAGUGGAAGCGUCUGGAAAGGCGCGCGAUACAGGGUGACAGCCCCGUACACAAAAAUGCACAUGCUGUGAGCUCGAUGAGUAGGGCGGGACACGUGGUAUCCUGUCUGAAUAUGGGGGGACCAUCCUCCAAGGCUAAAUACUCCUGACUGACCGAUAGUGAACCAGUACCGUGAGGGAAAGGCGAAAAGAACCCCGGCGAGGGGAGUGAAAAAGAACCUGAAACCGUGUACGUACAAGCAGUGGGAGCACGCUUAGGCGUGUGACUGCGUACCUUUUGUAUAAUGGGUCAGCGACUUAUAUUCUGUAGCAAGGUUAACCGAAUAGGGGAGCCGAAGGGAAACCGAGUCUUAACUGGGCGUUAAGUUGCAGGGUAUAGACCCGAAACCCGGUGAUCUAGCCAUGGGCAGGUUGAAGGUUGGGUAACACUAACUGGAGGACCGAACCGACUAAUGUUGAAAAAUUAGCGGAUGACUUGUGGCUGGGGGUGAAAGGCCAAUCAAACCGGGAGAUAGCUGGUUCUCCCCGAAAGCUAUUUAGGUAGCGCCUCGUGAAUUCAUCUCCGGGGGUAGAGCACUGUUUCGGCAAGGGGGUCAUCCCGACUUACCAACCCGAUGCAAACUGCGAAUACCGGAGAAUGUUAUCACGGGAGACACACGGCGGGUGCUAACGUCCGUCGUGAAGAGGGAAACAACCCAGACCGCCAGCUAAGGUCCCAAAGUCAUGGUUAAGUGGGAAACGAUGUGGGAAGGCCCAGACAGCCAGGAUGUUGGCUUAGAAGCAGCCAUCAUUUAAAGAAAGCGUAAUAGCUCACUGGUCGAGUCGGCCUGCGCGGAAGAUGUAACGGGGCUAAACCAUGCACCGAAGCUGCGGCAGCGACGCUGAUGCGUUGUUGGGUAGGGGAGCGUUCUGUAAGCCUGCGAAGGUGUGCUGUGAGGCAUGCUGGAGGUAUCAGAAGUGCGAAUGCUGACAUAAGUAACGAUAAAGCGGGUGAAAAGCCCGCUCGCCGGAAGACCAAGGGUUCCUGUCCAACGUUAAUCGGGGCAGGGUGAGUCGACCCCUAAGGCGAGGCCGAAAGGCGUAGUCGAUGGGAAACAGGUUAAUAUUCCUGUACUUGGUGUUACUGCGAAGGGGGGACGGAGAAGGCUAUGUUGGCCGGGCGACGGUUGUCCCGGUUUAAGCGUGUAGGCUGGUUUUCCAGGCAAAUCCGGAAAAUCAAGGCUGAGGCGUGAUGACGAGGCACUACGGUGCUGAAGCAACAAAUGCCCUGCUUCCAGGAAAAGCCUCUAAGCAUCAGGUAACAUCAAAUCGUACCCCAAACCGACACAGGUGGUCAGGUAGAGAAUACCAAGGCGCUUGAGAGAACUCGGGUGAAGGAACUAGGCAAAAUGGUGCCGUAACUUCGGGAGAAGGCACGCUGAUAUGUAGGUGAAGUCCCUUGCGGAUGGAGCUGAAAUCAGUCGAAGAUACCAGCUGGCUGCAACUGUUUAUUAAAAACACAGCACUGUGCAAACACGAAAGUGGACGUAUACGGUGUGACGCCUGCCCGGUGCCGGAAGGUUAAUUGAUGGGGUCAGCGCAAGCGAAGCUCUUGAUCGAAGCCCCGGUAAACGGCGGCCGUAACUAUAACGGUCCUAAGGUAGCGAAAUUCCUUGUCGGGUAAGUUCCGACCUGCACGAAUGGCGUAAUGAUGGCCAGGCUGUCUCCACCCGAGACUCAGUGAAAUUGAACUCGCUGUGAAGAUGCAGUGUACCCGCGGCAAGACGGAAAGACCCCGUGAACCUUUACUAUAGCUUGACACUGAACAUUGAGCCUUGAUGUGUAGGAUAGGUGGGAGGCUUUGAAGUGUGGACGCCAGUCUGCAUGGAGCCGACCUUGAAAUACCACCCUUUAAUGUUUGAUGUUCUAACGUUGACCCGUAAUCCGGGUUGCGGACAGUGUCUGGUGGGUAGUUUGACUGGGGCGGUCUCCUCCUAAAGAGUAACGGAGGAGCACGAAGGUUGGCUAAUCCUGGUCGGACAUCAGGAGGUUAGUGCAAUGGCAUAAGCCAGCUUGACUGCGAGCGUGACGGCGCGAGCAGGUGCGAAAGCAGGUCAUAGUGAUCCGGUGGUUCUGAAUGGAAGGGCCAUCGCUCAACGGAUAAAAGGUACUCCGGGGAUAACAGGCUGAUACCGCCCAAGAGUUCAUAUCGACGGCGGUGUUUGGCACCUCGAUGUCGGCUCAUCACAUCCUGGGGCUGAAGUAGGUCCCAAGGGUAUGGCUGUUCGCCAUUUAAAGUGGUACGCGAGCUGGGUUUAGAACGUCGUGAGACAGUUCGGUCCCUAUCUGCCGUGGGCGCUGGAGAACUGAGGGGGGCUGCUCCUAGUACGAGAGGACCGGAGUGGACGCAUCACUGGUGUUCGGGUUGUCAUGCCAAUGGCACUGCCCGGUAGCUAAAUGCGGAAGAGAUAAGUGCUGAAAGCAUCUAAGCACGAAACUUGCCCCGAGAUGAGUUCUCCCUGACUCCUUGAGAGUCCUGAAGGAACGUUGAAGACGACGACGUUGAUAGGCCGGGUGUGUAAGCGCAGCGAUGCGUUGAGCUAACCGGUACUAAUGAACCGUGAGGCUUAACCU